GAUGAACGCUGGCGGCGUGCCUAAUACAUGCAAGUCGAGCGAACAGACGAGAGUUCUUGCACUCUCUGACGUUAGCGGCGGACGGGUGAGUAACACGUGUGUAACCUACCUAUAAGACUGGGAUAACUUCGGGAAACCGGAUCUAAUACCGGAUAAUAUUUAGCUUCGUAUGUAGCAAUAGUGACAGACGGUUCUGCUGUCACUUAUAGAUGGACCCGCGGUGUAUUAGCUAGUUGGUGAGGUAACGGCUCACCAAGGCAACGAUACAUAGCCGACCUGAGAGGGGGAUCGGCCACACUGGGACUGAGAGACGGUCCAGACUCCUACGGUAAGCAGCAGUAGGGAAUCUACCGCUAUGGACGAAAGUCUGACGGAGCAAUGUCGCGUGAGUCACGAAGGUUUUCGGAUCGUAAAACUCUGUUGUAAGGGAAGAACAAGUACGUUAGUAACUGAACGUAUCUUGACGGUACCUAAGCAGAAAGCCACGGCUAACUACGUG
RNAcentral lists this ribosomal RNA (499 nucleotides) under uncultured bacterium. Its description in RNAcentral is "partial 16S ribosomal RNA". It matches the Rfam family "Bacterial small subunit ribosomal RNA", at positions 28 to 507 of the family's 1533-position model. The record is from RNAcentral.